Molecule: unclassified non-coding RNA, 222 nt
Filed under: uncultured Tomentella
Lineage: Eukaryota; Fungi; Basidiomycota; Agaricomycetes; Thelephorales; Thelephoraceae
Description: sequence contains ITS2
Source: RNAcentral
ACAUCUCAACUCCUCACGGUUUGCCCGUGAUGAGCUUGGACUUCGGGGGUCUUGCUGGCCUGCAGGUCGGCUCCUCUCAAAUGAAUCAGCUUGCCAGUGUUUGGUGGCGUCACAGGUGUGAUAACUAUCUACGCUUGUGGUUUUCCCACCAGGUAACCUCCAGCGAUGGGGGUUCACUGGAGCUCACAAAUGUCUCUCCUCGGUGAGGACGGCUCUUUGAAC